This 381-nucleotide ribosomal RNA is filed under the name uncultured bacterium. Its description in RNAcentral is "bacterial SSU rRNA". It matches the Rfam family "Bacterial small subunit ribosomal RNA", at positions 28 to 416 of the family's 1533-position model. The record is from RNAcentral.
GACGAACGCUGGCGGCGUGCUUAACACAUGCAAGUGGAGCGACGAACCAGGGCUUGCCCUGGGGCAGAGCCGCGUACGGGUGAGUAACACGUGGGUUACCUGCCCCGAUGACCGGGACAACCCGAGGAAACUCGGGCUAAUACCGGAUGUGGUCUUCGGACGAAAGGAAGCUUCGGCCUCCGCAUCGGGAUGGGCCCGCGGCGCAUUAGCUUGUUGGUGGGGUAACGGCCUACCAAGGCUACGAUGCGUAGCUGGUCUGAGAGGACGAUCAGCCACACUGGGACUGAGACACGGCCCAGACUCCUACGGGAGGCAGCAGUGGGGAAUCUUGCGCAAUGCGCGAAAGCGUGACGCAGCAACGCCGCGUGGGGGAAGAAGGCC